RNAcentral lists this ribosomal RNA (253 nucleotides) under uncultured bacterium. RNAcentral describes it as "partial 16S ribosomal RNA". It matches the Rfam family "Bacterial small subunit ribosomal RNA", at positions 524 to 776 of the family's 1533-position model. The record is from RNAcentral.
UACGUAGGGGGCAAGCGUUGUCCGGAUUUAUUGGGCGUAAAGAGCGUGUAGGCGGCCAGGUAGGUCCGUUGUGAAAACUGGAGGCUUAACCUCCAGCUGUCGAUGGAAACCAUCUGGCUAGAGUCCGGAAGAGGAGAGUGGAAUUCCUGGUGUAGCGGUGGAAUGCGCAGAUAUCAGGAGGAACACCAAUAGCGAAGGCAGCUCGCUGGGACGUUACUGACACUGAGGCGCGAAAGCGUGGGGAGCGAACAGG